Molecule: unclassified non-coding RNA, 893 nt
Filed under: Hevea brasiliensis (rubber tree)
Lineage: Eukaryota; Viridiplantae; Streptophyta; Magnoliopsida; Malpighiales; Euphorbiaceae
Source: RNAcentral
AUUUGGUCCCAUGAUGGAAUUUUUAUUUAGUGAAAUUGUUAUCAUACAUUAGUUUUAUUGUAUAAUUUUUCUCCAUGAUGUGCCAUUACUAACCGAAUGGACCCCUAAUUUUCCAAACUGUUUGAGCAUGAAGAUCCAAGAAAAUUUGUAUUUGUCAGAAAAUUUCUGAAUUAUUAUUGUUGAGAAGGUAUUAACUACCAAUAUUGCAAUUUGGUAUAGCAUAAACAAGCACUUCUUUUCUAGAGACAUAAAGCAAAACUUAUCCUCCACGUAAGCCAAAAUUAUUUACCAUCUGUGAGAAACUCGUGGAGAUGGUCACUUCUCUCUUGGCUUCUUCGAGUGCUUGCUCCACAAGAGCACAAGCAGAAAUAUGUGCACAGGCUGACUGUCCCAUAAGUUAAAUCCUACUCAAUAAGCAUGAGGAAAUCAAAAAGCAUAUAUAGUUUAAGAUAAAUGCAACACGGAAACACAUAGAAACUAUUUGAUUUCUUGUCAGGGUCACCUCCAUAUUUUGAGAUGUUAUUGCAGAUAAAUGAGAUCCCUUGAGAUGCAUCAUUUACCGUAUCACUUGCGGUUCUCUGGGGAAAAUUUCUGUGCUAACAUGUCAACCAAAAACAUGAAUGGUGGAGGGAUAGAACAAACAAGUAUGUAAAUGUUAAGACUGAAAAAAGUAAUAGUGCUAAGCUAACAGUUAACAUGGAUUCAUGGAAGAACAAGGAGAACCUAAGUUAGGCAUAGAAAAAAUAUGAGCAAAAGUAUUAUUUUGAAGUUUUAUUUUAGCGUGGGAACUCUAAACUUAGGAAUGAUUUCAGUGGCUCCAACCUAAACACCAUGAAUAUGUAGUGAGAUGUACUAUCUCCAUGUAAAAAUGCACUCAUAACCAAUGGUAUUGG